UGGGGAAUUUUGGACGAAUUGGGGGCAACCCGUCGAUCCAGCAAUGCCGCGUGUGUGAAGAAGGCCUUCGGGUUGUAAAGCACUUUUGUCCGGAAAGAAAACGCCGUGGUUAAUACCCGUGGCGGAUGACGGUACCGGAAGAAUAAGCACCGGCUAACUACGUGCCAGCAGCCGCGGUAAUACGUAGGGUGCAAGCGUUAAUCGGAAUUACUGGGCGUAAAGCGUGCGCAGGCGGUCCGCUAAGACAGAUGUGAAAUCCCCGGGCUUAACCUGGGAACUGCAUUUGUGACUGGCGGGCUAGAGUAUGGCAGAGGGGGGUAGAAUUCCACGUGUAGCAGUGAAAUGCGGUAGAGAUGUGGAGGAAUACCGAUGGCGAAGGCAGCCCCCUGGGCCAAUACUGACGCUCAUGCACGAAAGCGUGGGGGAGCAAACAGGAUU
This 438-nucleotide ribosomal RNA is filed under the name uncultured bacterium. RNAcentral's name for it is "partial 16S ribosomal RNA". It matches the Rfam family "Bacterial small subunit ribosomal RNA", at positions 355 to 779 of the family's 1533-position model. The record is from RNAcentral.